Paramuricea clavata is the source of this 489-nucleotide non-coding RNA. Lineage: Eukaryota; Metazoa; Cnidaria; Anthozoa; Malacalcyonacea; Plexauridae. The record is from the annotation of a GenBank genome assembly.
CCAUUUUGCAAUAAAUACUAUGUUAAUAAAAGUCAUUCGGUUCAAAUUGCCCCAACUCGGGGCCAAAAUGCUAUUCAAAAUCCCCAGGGUGGGGAUGCAAUUGAUGAUCAAAUACCCCACAUAUGCCCGACCCCCCCUCGGGUGUUAACAUUGAUAGGUGCAUUAGGUGUAUGCAGACUGGAAUACAAGUUAAUAUCACUGCCUGUGAAAUUGUGGUUUAUUUAGAGAAUAAAGGUUUUUUGAACUCUUCUAUAAAUAAAUUAUAACAGCAAAAGAUUCAUAUGCACCCAUAUAGGGAAGGCUUACAUGCUACAAGUUAAAAUGAGUAUUACAUACUCCUGCACUUGAAAAGUUUACAGCACAGUAUAUACAUUAAAUAAUCAAAUAUAUAACAGUAAAUCCCAAGAUUGGAUUUAUUGAAACUAGUCAUUAACUAGUUCUUCGCAAUUAAAUAACACAAAGACAAAUUAAUAAAAGUUAUUAACCAUU